UGCGCGGAAGAUGUAACGGGCUAAAACUAUGUGCCGAAGCUGCGGAUGUAUACUUUGUAUACGUGGUAGGGGAGCGUUCUGUAAGCCGAUGAAGGUGUGUUGAGAAGCAUGCUUGAGGUAUCAGAGUGCGAAUGCUGACGUGAGUAACGACAAAACGGGUGAAAAACCCGUUCGCCGAAAGACCAAGGGUUCCAGUCCAACGUUAAUCGGGGCUGGGUGAGUCGACCCCUAAGGCGAGGCCGAAAGGCGUAGUCGAUGGGAAAAUGGUUAAUAUUCCAUUACUUCUGUGUAAUGCGAUGAGAGGACGGAGAAGGCUAAAUCAGCCUGGCGUUGGUUGUCCAGGUGAAAGGAUGUAGGCAUGUAUCUUAGGCAAAUCCGGGGUACUCUAUGCUGAGAUCUGAUAGCAAGCUGUACUUGUACAGCGAAGUGGUUGAUGCCAUGCUUCCAGGAAAAGUCUCUAAGCUUCAGUUACACAGGAAUCGUACCCGAAACCGACACAGGUGGUCAGGUCGAGUAGACCAAGGCGCUUGAGAGAACUCUGCUGAAGGAACUAGGCAAAAUGGUACCGUAACUUCGGGAGAAGGUACGCUGUUGUUGGUGAUGGAACUCGCUUCCUGAGCUGACGACAGCCGCAGAAACCAGGCCGCUGCAACUGUUUAUUAAAAACAUAGCACUCUGCAAACACGAAAGUGGACGUAUAGGGUGUGAUGCCUGCCCGGUGCUGGAAGGUUAAUUGAUGGGGUUAGCGUAAGCGAAGCUCUUGAUCGAAGCCCCAGUAAACGGCGGCCGUAACUAUAACGGUCCUAAGGUAGCGAAAUUCCUUGUCGGGUAAGUUCCGACCUGCACGAAUGGCAUAAUGAUGGCGGCGCUGUCUCCAGCAGAGGCUCAGUGAAAUCGAAAUCGCUGUGAAGAUGCAGUGUACCCGCGGCUAGACGGAAAGACCCCGUGAACCUUUACUGCAGCUUGACACUGAACUUUGACCUUACUUGUGUAGGAUAGGUGGGAGGCUUUGAAGCUGGAACGCUAGUUCCAGUGGAGCCGUCCUUGAAAUACCACCCUGGUAAUGUUGAGGUUCUAACUCUGUCCCGUGAUCCGGGACGAGGACCGUGUCUGGUGGGUAGUUUGACUGGGGCGGUCUCCUCCUAAAGAGUAACGGAGGAGUACGAAGGUGCGCUCAGCGUGGUCGGAAAUCACGCGUAGAGUAUAAAGGCAAAAGCGCGCUUAACUGCGAGACCCACAAGUCGAGCAGGUACGAAAGUAGGUCUUAGUGAUCCGGUGGUUCUGUAUGGAAGGGCCAUCGCUCAACGGAUAAAAGGUACUCUGGGGAUAACAGGCUGAUACCGCCCAAGAGUUCAUAUCGACGGCGGUGUUUGGCACCUCGAUGUCGGCUCAUCUCAUCCUGGGGCUGAAGCAGGUCCCAAGGGUAUGGCUGUUCGCCAUUUAAAGAGGUACGCUUUAAAACGCGAGCUGGGUUAGAACGUCGUGAGACAGUUCGGUCCUAU
RNAcentral lists this ribosomal RNA (1502 nucleotides) under Acinetobacter baumannii. Its description in RNAcentral is "bacterial LSU rRNA". It matches the Rfam family "Bacterial large subunit ribosomal RNA", at positions 1160 to 2641 of the family's 2925-position model. The record is from RNAcentral. Lineage: Bacteria; Pseudomonadati; Pseudomonadota; Gammaproteobacteria; Moraxellales; Moraxellaceae.